Molecule: unclassified non-coding RNA, 1495 nt
Filed under: Hevea brasiliensis (rubber tree)
Lineage: Eukaryota; Viridiplantae; Streptophyta; Magnoliopsida; Malpighiales; Euphorbiaceae
Source: RNAcentral
UUUUGCAUGAUCAUCUACUACCUUUCCACAAUUAUUAACUGAAAGGGGUUCAUGGGAAGGGGUGGGAAAUCAAGAAGAAAAUUCAGAUGGGCAACAUCAAUCACCAUUAAACAUGAUAUUCCCAAAAUUACUACCUAUUAAACCUCCAAAUCCAAUAAAUUAUGAGAAAGAGACCUGCUAGGGUCGGUCGAGAAACAAAAUUUACAUAUGAGAACUUACGUUUCCCUUGAAAAUGUAAUUAAAAUAUAAAUGAAUGCAUUCCCGGAUUUGCCUUCUUGUUUCAUUUUGCCUGAACAUAAUGGCAGUUUCAAAAUUAUAUCGAAAACAGAUGCGUUUCAUUCCCAAGUUCAAUUAGAAUGCACUUAGUUCCUUGCCAAAGGACAGAAUAGAGUCCUAUUUCAGCUUUGAGGAUACACAUUCCACUUCCAAGGCAAACCAAUGAAGCCUUGGAGUGGCAAAUAGCUCUCUUUUUUAGACCGAUAAGUGAUUCAAAACAAUUUGAUUUCAUUCUACUCGUUCAGUAAAAAAAAUUUGUCAAGUGAAUUUCGUACCACUUAAAAUUCCCAAAAACACCAUCACCAGUCUUUCAUACCAGGCUCUAAAUUCUAACCUAAGAAAGAAAUAAAUGAAACAAAAAGAAAUACCUCAGACUUGGCAUGAACAAUCUCUUGAAGUUCACAAGGGAACAACGAGUUGGACAUCUGCUGAAUGGCCUUCAAUAUCAGAAGCUCUUUAAAAAUAAUUCUUAUAAUUGCUAGAAAUACUCAUAAAUUCUCAGGAGUGAGUCCUUGUCGGAAAAUGAUGCUUAGUGUAAAAUUGUAUUAUAUUUGAUUCCUAUGUUAAAUUAGUGUAAAAACUCAAAAUGAUAAGACCCUUCAACCCUCCAUCAAAACGAAGAACAGCAGAUUGGACAAAGGUAAAACUAAAAUUAUGAGAAGAUAAUUUUGGAAAUAAACAAAAAAAACACCAUGAGAAACAAAUCCACAAAAGAUAUAAAAUUAACUAUAACGAAGAAGAAGAAAAAAUACAUCACAUACCCAGAAUUAAAGAGAGAAAAGGAAAGCCGAAUGACAGGAAACAAAAGGAACACUGAAAUAAUAAAUAGAAAAACAAAGAAAGAUUAAAAGACAUACAACCAUACAAAGAAAUUAUUGAAACAUACACAAACUGUACCAAAGCGUGGGGUUAAACAUAAUUACCCUAAAAGCAGGCCUAAAAGAAGAAUAGUGAGUUUACGAUUUGGCAUGAUGAUUUCACUAUUUGGCAUGCAAUCAUUGAUAAUUAAAAAAAAAAUGGAAGAUAUAAAAUUUGCAAAUGGAAAGGAAUAGAGAAUUAAUUAUUACCCAUCAAAUCGAGGAGAAAAACCCACUUGAAGGAGCAAAACCAAGAAGCAGAUGCUUUCUGUGCAAUGGCAACCAGCAGUCUGGAACAAUGCUGUUUUGUGAAGAGAGCACAUCAAAUGGGGAAUAGGGAAGGAAUUGCACGUACAGGAAAG